GCCUCUGGCAGAGGACUGUAGGACACAGAGGGAUAAGGAAGUGAAACAGUACGCCUCCAGAUUAUCUUCAGCAGCUGGGGAGAUGUAACACAAUGAGAGAAGGUGAAAGUGUGAAGCUCAGAAUAUGAAUGUGAGGUUUCCAGGUUUUCUCCCAUCCCAGCAUCCCUGGACUCCUUACAAUUUUACCACAAGUGCUUCUGGGCAGAGGGACAUUGGGCACUAUUCUCAAUAGUUUCUUUUUUCUGUAAGAAAAUAAAUCAAAAUAAGAUGGAAAAACUGAGGAAGGUUACAAACAGAAGACAAUAGCAUCCACAUCCAUAUUCACAUCCCCUAAUAAAACUACAUGUUCACACAGUUUGUAAAUGCAGGGUAAAAGAUCCAACAUUGGGUUUCUGUUAAUGGAACAAAAGAUCCAAUGGAAACAAGACAUGGUGAUCAUCACUUCCCACUGCAUCCCAUCCCUGAGCACUUCAGAAACCUACUCCAGAGAGAAUUUGACAGUAUCACAGGGUGGAGGAAGAACACGAAGAAAAAGAAGGUCCUAACAUGGAGGGAGGACCCAAAUACACUAUAGUGAAGUCAGAACAGAAUCAAUAGACACAAAGUACUGCCUGAUUUGGGGUUGAAGCAAGAAACAAGCUCAUGGAAUGCUAUGAAAUUAGAUGAAGAACAGAGAAUGACAUGCCUAGUUGGCUGAUUGUUACCCUAAACUGGAACACUUUGUGCCACAACAUUUGUUGCAGGUCUCAUUUGUCUCACAUGGUAAUGGCUUUACAAACCACCUCUACUAAAUGAACUGUAUUUUUUAAAAUUCAGGUUUCAGCUUCUAAGUAGCAAUGUGUAACGUAAACAUGAAACAUCAAGGAAAUUAUUAAAACUUUGUCUGCUUUGUCUUCCUGCUCCUUACAGAA
Molecule: long non-coding RNA, 911 nt
Organism: Sceloporus undulatus (fence lizard)
Lineage: Eukaryota; Metazoa; Chordata; Lepidosauria; Squamata; Phrynosomatidae
Exons: 2
Source: RefSeq, a predicted model, not a curated record